RNAcentral lists this transfer RNA (73 nucleotides) under Candidatus Wallbacteria bacterium HGW-Wallbacteria-1. Its description in RNAcentral is "tRNA-Pro". It matches the Rfam family "tRNA". From Rfam's summary of the family: Transfer RNA (tRNA) molecules are approximately 80 nucleotides in length. Their secondary structure includes four short double-helical elements and three loops (D, anti-codon, and T loops). The record is from RNAcentral. Lineage: Bacteria; Candidatus Walliibacteriota.
CGGGAUGUAGCGCAGCUGGUAGCGCACACGGUUCGGGACCGUGGGGUCGCUGGUUCGAAUCCAGUCAUCCCGA